AUGGAGGCCAUGCACGCUCGCCUCGCCCUCGCCUUCCUCCUGUUCGUCGCGCUUGCGGCGGCACAGCAGGUGCCGGCGCCGGCGCCUGCCGACGUGGGUUGCAACGGCGUCUUCCUCACCUACGCCCCCGAGGCCCACCAAAGGAUCAGGCCGUUCGUGGACCCCGCCGCCGCCGCGGCCGGCAGGCAGCCCUACUCCUUCCGCGCCAGCGCCACCGUCCUCAACAACGGCGUCCGCACGCUCCCCUCGUGGUCGCUGCUGGUCGCCUUCGCGCACGGCGAGAUUCUUGUCAGUCUCGACGGCGGCGUGCUCACCUUCGGGGACGACCUGCCGUACAACACCACGGCGGCCGGUGGCGGCGCGACGUCCUUGUCUGGGAACCCGCAGACGGACCUCCUAACGCCGAUCGCCACCGCCGGCGACCUGACCAGGAUACAGGCGACGGUGAGGCUGGUCGGCACGCUGUUCGCCGGGCCAGAGCCGGUCGUGACGCUCCCGUCCGCGAUCUCGCUGGCCGACCCCGCGUACACCUGCUCGCCUGUCGCCACCGCGCCAACGGUCCUCUCCGCGUGCUGCGUGCUGAUUGCGCCGGACCAGCCCUCGGCCGUGCCGCCGGCGGCCGGGAACACCUACCUCCCGCGCGUCACCGGCGACCUCGUCAUCACCUACGACGUGCUCCAGGCGCACGAGACCACGUACCUGGCGCUGGUGACGCUCGAGAACAACGCGCCGAUGGGCCGCCUCGACGGCUGGGAGCUGUCGUGGGAGUGGCGGCGCGGCGAGUUCGUCAACUCCAUGAGAGGCGCGUACCCGCGGGAGGUGGACGCCAGAGGCUGCCUCUACGGCCCGCAGGGGCAGUACUACAAGGACCUCGACUUCUCCAAGGUGCUCAACUGCGAGCGCCGGCCGGUGGUGCACGACCUGCCGCCGUCCCGCCGCGACGACACGUCCCUCGGUCAGAUCGAGCACUGCUGCAGGAACGGCACCAUCCUGCCCAAGACCAUGGACGAGGCGCAGUCCAAGUCGGCGUUCCAGAUGGAGGUGUACAAGAUGCCGCCGGACCUGAACCGGACGGCCAGGCCGCACGCCCCGGCCAACUUCAGGAUCUCCGGCGCGUCGCCGCUCAACCAGGCGUACGCGUGCGGGCAGCCAGCGCUGGUGAGCCCCACGGAGUUCCCGGACCCGAGCGGGCUCGUCUCCACGACGCUCGCCGUCGCGACGUGGCAGGCGGUCUGCAACAUGACCGUCGACGACGCCAAACCGUCCAAGCCGCCGCAGUGCUGCGUGUCCUUCUCCGCGUUCUUCAACGAGUCGGUGAUCCCCUGCAGCACCUGCGCGUGCGGCUUCCCCACCCCGGCGCCUACGACCUGCAGCACGACGGCGCCGGCGCUGCUCCUGCCGCCGCACGCGCUGCUCAUGCCGUUCGAGUGGCGGGCCAAGGAGACGCUCAAGUGGUAUCACGACGAGGAGCUGGGCGCGCCGCCGAACCCGAUGCCGUGCGGCGACAACUGCGGGGUGAGCGUGAACUGGCACGUGGCCACGGACGCGGCCGGCGGGUGGAGCGCGCGGGUGACGCUCUUCAACUGGGAGGAGGGCGCGGACAUGCGCGACUGGUUCGCCACCGUCGUCAUGGGCGACAAGGUGUACGGCGGGUUCGAGCAGGCCUACUCCUUCAACGCCACCGCCGUCGGGGACGGCGCCAUCUUCAUGCGCGGCAGGGAAGGCUUCGAGCUCCUGCUGAGGGAGAGCAACGUGAGCGGCGUGGACUACCCCGUGCCCGGGAAGCAGCAGUCCGUGCUCUCCUUCACCAAAAAGAAUGGCCCCGGCGACGUCGACGUGGUUGGCGGCGACGGGUUCCCGACCAAGAUCUUCUUCAACGGCGAGGAGUGCGCCAUGCCACAGAUGAUUCCGAGCCAGGGGGUUGGCACUCGCGCUAGCCGUGAAACAGGAUUAAUUGUACACCAGUCUGCACAGCUGAAGAAAGAUAGACCUCCAAACUCCAGCAUCUAUUGCCGAAGCUGCAGAACCGGAAGAGAAAGUUUCUGCAGUUCCAUCGUUGCGGAGAAUGCAGCUAGCUGA
This 2079-nucleotide ribosomal RNA is filed under the name Triticum aestivum (bread wheat). RNAcentral's name for it is "partial small subunit ribosomal RNA". Lineage: Eukaryota; Viridiplantae; Streptophyta; Magnoliopsida; Poales; Poaceae. The record is from RNAcentral.